CGAGAAGACCCUGUCGAGCUUAAGAAAAUUUUUAUAAGAAUUUAAAAAUAGUUAAAAAUACUAAAAACUAAAAUAAAAAUACCUUUGGUUGGGGCAACCACGAAGAAAAAAAAACCUUCGUUCUAAAAAAGAAAUUUACAAAUUAAAUAUUUUUUUAAAAACUAUAAGAUCCAGUACAUUCUGAUCAAAGAAAAAAGUUACCGCAGGGAUAACAGCGUUAUUCUCUUUAAGAGUUCAUAUUGACAAGAGAGUUUGCGACCUCGAUGUUGGACCGGGACACCCAAGAGGUGCAACAGCCUCUAAAGGUAGGUCUGUUCGACCUAUAAAGUCCUACGUGAUCUGAGUUCAGACCGGA
RNAcentral lists this ribosomal RNA (355 nucleotides) under Nesometra sp. NSMT E 13606. Its description in RNAcentral is "partial large subunit ribosomal RNA". It matches the Rfam family "Bacterial large subunit ribosomal RNA", at positions 2081 to 2620 of the family's 2925-position model. Lineage: Eukaryota; Metazoa; Echinodermata; Crinoidea; Comatulida; Antedonidae. The record is from RNAcentral.